RNAcentral lists this ribosomal RNA (1287 nucleotides) under metagenome. RNAcentral describes it as "bacterial SSU rRNA". It matches the Rfam family "Bacterial small subunit ribosomal RNA", at positions 242 to 1520 of the family's 1533-position model. The record is from RNAcentral.
UAGCUAGUUGGUGAGGUAACGGCUUACCAAGGCGACGAUCUGUAGCGGGUCUGAGAGGAUGAUCCGCCACACUGGAACUGAGACACGGUCCAGACUCCUACGGGAGGCAGCAGUGGGGAAUUUUGGACAAUGGGGGCAACCCUGAUCCAGCCAUGCCGCGUGAGUGAAGAAGGCCUUCGGGUUGUAAAGCUCUUUCGGCCGGGAAGAAAUCGCAUGGGCCAAUACCCUGUGUGGAUGACGGUACCGGAAUAAGAAGCACCGGCUAACUACGUGCCAGCAGCCGCGGUAAUACGUAGGGUGCGAGCGUUAAUCGGAAUUACUGGGCGUAAAGCGUGCGCAGGCGGUUUUGUAAGACAGGCGUGAAAUCCCCGGGCUCAACCUGGGAACUGCGUUUGUGACUGCAAGGCUAGAGUACGGCAGAGGGGGGUGGAAUUCCACGUGUAGCAGUGAAAUGCGUAGAGAUGUGGAGGAACACCAAUGGCGAAGGCAGCCCCCUGGGUCGAUACUGACGCUCAUGCACGAAAGCGUGGGUAGCAAACAGGAUUAGAUACCCUGGUAGCCCACGCCCUAAACUAUGUCAACUAGGUGUUGGGUGGGUAAAACCAUUUAGUACCGUAGCUAACGCGUGAAGUUGACCGCCUGGGGAGUACGGCCGCAAGGUUAAAACUCAAAGGAAUUGACGGGGACCCGCACAAGCGGUGGAUGAUGUGGAUUAAUUCGAUGCAACGCGAAAAACCUUACCUACCCUUGACAUGCCAGGAACUUGCCAGAGAUGGCUUGGUGCCCGAAAGGGAGCCUGGACACAGGUGCUGCAUGGCUGUCGUCAGCUCGUGUCGUGAGAUGUUGGGUUAAGUCCCGCAACGAGCGCAACCCUUGUCGUUAAUUGCCAUCAUUUAGUUGGGCACUUUAGCGAGACUGCCGGUGACAAACCGGAGGAAGGUGGGGAUGACGUCAAGUCCUCAUGGCCCUUAUGGGUAGGGCUUCACACGUCAUACAAUGGUCGGUACAAAGGGUCGCCAAGCCGCGAGGUGGAGCCAAUCCCAGAAAGCCGAUCGUAGUCAGGAUUGCAGGCUGCAACUCGCCUGCAUGAAGUCGGAAUCGCUAGUAAUCGUGGAUCAGCAUGUCACGGUGAAUACGUUCCCGGGUCUUGUACACACCGCCCGUCACACCAUGGGAGCGGGUUCCGCCAGAAGUAGGUAGCCUAACCGCAAGGAGGGCGCUUACCACGGCGGGGUUCGUGACUGGGGUGAAGUCGGAACAAGGUAGCCGUAGGGGAACCUGCGGCUG